CAUAGCGACUAUCGUGGCAUAUCAAUAAGCGGAGGAAAAGAAACUAACAAGGAUUCCCUUAGUAACGGCGAGUGAAGCGGGAAGAGCUCAAAUUUGAAAUCUUCAAGGUUCUACCUUGACGAAUUGUAGUUUAUAGAAGUGUUUUCUGUUAGUAGAGUGGCAAAAGUUCUUUGGAAUAGGACAUCAUAGAGGGUGAGAAUCCCGUAUUUGGUCAUUCUUUCUAGCUUUGUGAUACACUUUCAACGAGUCGGAUUGUUUGGGAAUGCAGUCCAAAAUGGGUGGUAAAUUUCAUCUAAAGCUAAAUAUUGGCGAGAGACCGAUAGCGAACAAGUACCGUGAGGGAAAGAUGAAAAGAACUUUGAAAAGAGAGUUAAACAGUACGUGAAAUUGUCAAAAGGGAAGCGUUUGACACCAGUGUUGUCUUUCCGAAAAUCAAUUACGAAUGUUUUAUUUUUGAGAAGUUAUGACUUCAUCGGCUUGCUUCUCUCUUUAUGAAACUUUCUUAAUGCACUUUUCGGUUAACAAGUCAACAUCAAUUUCUUUUGUUGUAAAAGGGUAUGAGGAAGGUGGCUUUCUUUUCGGAGAAAGUGUUUAUAGCCUUGUACCUCUGCAAUCGGAGAGAUUGAGGUCUGCAGCGUAGAUCCUUCGGGGUUAGAUACAUUUGUGCUAAGUUAUAGCUUUUCAUAGACAACUUGUUGACUAUGUUUAGUCUUGUAGCUUACUCGCUUAUGCUAUUUUACCUACGCUUAGGAUGUUGAUAUGCAUGACUGAUAU
This 774-nucleotide ribosomal RNA is filed under the name uncultured Neocallimastigales. RNAcentral describes it as "partial large subunit ribosomal RNA". It matches the Rfam family "Eukaryotic large subunit ribosomal RNA", at positions 22 to 636 of the family's 3401-position model. The record is from RNAcentral. Lineage: Eukaryota; Fungi; Neocallimastigomycota; Neocallimastigomycetes; Neocallimastigales.